UGUGGAUGUUAUUAGACACUUCCUGUUUCUCAUUUCUCACCAUAAUUUCAACGCCUCGCCACAAGCAAACCAUUCGAGAUAUCAAAAAUCCCCUGGCAAUUUUGCAUCCCCAAUGUCUUGAGAUCAUGUUGACCAAGUUUGGUGGCAAUCGGGUAAAAAACCUAUGACAAGUAUAUCAAAUUCCAGAGCAUGCACUUUUUACAUAGCUCUAAAUAGCUGACUUCCUGUUGGGCGGAGCCUAUGACAUGCAAUACGAAAGUUGUUCGGCACAAUGAGAUCUAUAUGUGUACUGAGUUUCAUAUGAAUACGUGCAAGUAUGUAUGAUAUAUGGCCCUCCAUAUUCCAGGGGGCGCUGUAGAGCCCCUGUGCCACGCCCGUGUAUCAGUCUCUGCCCGGCCCUAAUGGCCGCAGGUUCCAAUGUGUGUGCCAAUUUUCAAGAGUUUUCGAGUAUGUUAAGGGCCCCAAAAGCCCCCGAGACGUUGGAAAAUAAUAAUAAUAAUAAUAAUAAUAAUAAUAAAUAUAGCUGCAAGCAGCGAUGGCGGGCUCAAGCCAUCAGCGCAAACGCCACCCCGGUGGCAUCAGGUAAACUGUGCCCAGCGGGCACAUGCAUUACAGUAAUCCUCUGGCACUCAGGUUUUAAGGGAUACGGCAAUUAACGGGUUAAUCCGAAGCAUCAAG
Long non-coding RNA from Cyprinus carpio carpio, 678 nucleotides. Lineage: Eukaryota; Metazoa; Chordata; Actinopteri; Cypriniformes; Cyprinidae. The record is from Ensembl.